Molecule: ribosomal RNA, 253 nt
Filed under: uncultured bacterium
Lineage: Bacteria
Description: partial 16S ribosomal RNA
Rfam family: Bacterial small subunit ribosomal RNA
Source: RNAcentral
UACGGAGGGGGCUAGCGUUGUUCGGAAUUACUGGGCGUAAAGCGCACGUAGGCGGCUUUGUAAGUUAGAGGUGAAAGCCUGGGGCUCAACUCCAGAAUUGCCUUUAAGACUGCAUCGCUUGAAUCGCGGAGAGGUGAGUGGAAUUCCGAGUGUAGAGGUGAAAUGCGCAGAUAUCAGGAAGAACACCCGUGGCUAAGGCGGCUCUCUAGUACGGUACUGACGCUGAGACGCGAAAGCGUGGGGAGCGAACAGG